CUCCACUAGACACGCCAAGUUGUGACCGCGGUGUGAAAAGGCCCCUCCCACGGUGAUGGGACGUGGUAGUAGUAGUUGUGGUGGUGAUAAUAACAAAUAACAAAUAAUAGUAGUCGCAGUAAUAAUAAUAAUAGUAGUGGGUAACGUGAGCGUUGUCAGGUGGGGGGGGGGGGACUGCUGGGCUUUGACGGGCCGGGUGGAACUGCCACGCUGCCACUUUCCCAUCAUGAGGGCCACUGGGGCUGCUGGUACCUCCCUUCCCACCCUCUCGAGUGUUCCCGAGCAGUGUGUUGACCACCCUCCUGGAUCUCGUACCCGCCCCGCUCGGCCAGCCUGUCAACCCGUGCUCACGCUAUCCGGUGUCGAACCCUUGUCAGUUAGUACCUCCACUGGAUCACCGGCCCGGAAACUUAAAUAUAUAUACAUUUACAUAUAUCGUGGGUAUUGGGGACUUCCCUGCU
Molecule: long non-coding RNA, 461 nt
Filed under: Physcomitrium patens
Lineage: Eukaryota; Viridiplantae; Streptophyta; Bryopsida; Funariales; Funariaceae
Description: long non-coding RNA (PPAT_LNC003433)
Source: RNAcentral